UUUYGUAUUCAGCUUUGUGAUCACUUUUCAAAGAGUCGGAUUGUUUGGGAAUGCAGUCCAAAAUGGGUGGUAAAUUUCAUCUAAAGCUAAAUAUUGGCGAGAGACCGAUAGCGAACAAGUACCGUGAGGGAAAGAUGAAAAGAACUUUGAAAAGAGAGUUAAACAGCACGUGAAAUUGUCAAAAGGGAAGCGUUUGACACCAGUGUUGUUUUCUCGAAAAUCAAUUAAAAAAGACUGGAUUUUGUGUUGUAUUGACUUUAUCAGCUUUCUGCACUCUUUUCUUGUCUUUUUUAAUGCACUUUUCGUUUAACAAGUCAACAUCAAUUUCUUUUGUUGUAAAAGGGUCAUUGGAAGGUGGCUUUCUUUUCGGAGAAAGUGUUUAUAGCCUUUGGCCUCUGCAAUCGGAGAGAUUGAGGUCUGCAGCGUAGAUCCUUCGGGGUUAGAUACAUUUGUGCUAAGUUAUAGCCUUUCAUAGACAACUUGUUGACUAUGAUCAGUCAUGUAGCUUACUCGCUUAUGCUAUUUUACCUACSYAGAAAGGGGGUGGAAAAA
This 552-nucleotide ribosomal RNA is filed under the name Caecomyces sp. RNAcentral describes it as "partial large subunit ribosomal RNA". The record is from RNAcentral. Lineage: Eukaryota; Fungi; Neocallimastigomycota; Neocallimastigomycetes; Neocallimastigales; Neocallimastigaceae.